Molecule: long non-coding RNA, 3327 nt
Filed under: Homo sapiens (human)
Lineage: Eukaryota; Metazoa; Chordata; Mammalia; Primates; Hominidae
Description: HSALNT0213081
Source: RNAcentral
UGGUAAGGAUAUGGAGAAAAGGGAACCUUUGUACACUGUUGGUGGGAAUGUAAGUUAGUACAGCCAUUAUGGAAACCGUAUGGAAGUUCCUCAGAAAACUAAAAAUGGAGCCACUAUAUGACCCAGCAAUCUCACUUGUAGGUAUAUAUCCAAAGGAAUUGAAAUCAGUAAGUCAAAGAUGUCUAUACUUACAUGUUAAUUGCAGCAUUAUUCACAAUAACCAAGAUAUGGAAUCAGCUUUAGUGUUCAUCAACUAAUGAAUGCAUUUAAAAAAAAAUGCAUUCACCUUCUUUUCCACAUUUCUUUUAGUUUUAAUUUUGAUUUAAAGUAUUUUAGACAUACAAGUAUAGAUAAAAGUAAAUGAAAAUCCAAAUACUUGGCCUCCCAGCUCAUAAAACACAAUAUUACAGGCCGGGCGUGGUGGCUCAUGCCUAUAAUCCCAGCACUUUGGGAGGCCGAGGUGGGUGGAUCACUUAAGGUCAGGAGUUUGAGACCAGCCUGGCUGGUGAAACCCUCUCUACUAAAAAUGCAAAAGUUAACCAGGUGUGGUGGCACAGAAAAAAUAACCGCAGCCUGAGAUACAACCAUAGGUAAAAAGGUAAUGGCAAAAACUGCAAUAGCUUUUGCACCAACCUAAUACAAAAGUUAAGGAGAGGGAGCUCUCUCCAGGAAAAAUAAAAUGUAGAUCCUAUUCUUGAGUUAGUAUUCAUUGUAUAGCUAUAUUUUUCAAGGAGAAAGUACUGAUUUCUGGCCUCAAAAAGGACUAAAUUCUGUGAUGUCCAAAUGUUGAAUGGUUGGUUAUUCACCAACCAUUACUGCCAAGUGACAGAGAAUUCUGUUCCUCACGUUUUGGCUGACUGCCUUUGGAACAUAAAGCCAUCUCUCUGUUCUUCUGUGAGACAAAGUUUUUAUUUGUGUAAUGAGAAUGCUGUCUGUUGCUAUAAGGAUGUUAGCUUCCAAGAGAUGUUGGGUGCUGUGUAUCAAAAUGGUGGGCUCCUAGAGAUAGGUGCUACAUAAAGCUGUGGUAUUUUCCCUUUACUAGAUGAUACUACAAAUCAUUCUAACUCCUCCAAGGAGGUCCCUUCCUCAGCUGUUUUGAGAAGCCUUCGGGUGAAUGUGGGUCCAGACGGAGAGGAGACGAGAGCUCAGACUGUACAGAAAUCCCCGGAGUUUUUGUCCACUUCAGAGUCUUCUAGCUUGUUGCAAGAUCUACAGCCAAGUGAUAGCACUUCUUUUAUUCUUCUUAACCUAACAAGAGCAGGUAUUCUUUCCUUUUUUUUGGGCUCUGCUUAUGCCUAAGAAAAAAAUUAGGGGUGGGGCAUAUUUAACUUAGUCAUACUUAAAAUAGAAAGAACCUUUAUUAUUUUAUUAUUUUGGAGAAUUGGUGUGUCUGGUGACCAUUUGAAUAUGUAGAGGGAGAGGGAGGACUCUAGUAUGACUCAUAUCUUGUUUGGGAAAUUAUGUAGUGCCAUUUACUGAGAUCGCACAGGAAGAGCAAGGCUUGGGGGAGGAUGAUUAGUUCCAAUUUGCACCUAUUUAUGUUGAGAUUUUGGAGGUAUAUUCAGGAGGACAUGUCCUUUAGAGAGUUAGAAACAUGAAUCCAGAGUUCUAGAAAGGUCUGUUUUGGUGCUUAUCAGCAUUCAGGAAACGUAUGAAACAAUGAACAUGGAUUCUAGAGAAGUCUCAAGCAUAAACAGAAAAGAAGGCAAGUCUGGGACCCUGGGAAAAAACAUUUAAGAGGACAACAGAACAGGAAGGAGCAGCUGGAAGGGGAUGAAGAGAACUGGGAGAGAGUGGUAGCAGGGAAGCCAAGGGAGGAAGAAGUUUUAAGGCAGAAAAGAUACUAAAUCAUGCCAAAUACUACAUGAUGGGCUUAUUAGUGAGAAGAAGUGUGUGUCUGGUGACCCUAGCAAGAGCAAUUGUUACUGUGGUAGCUGAGGUAGAGGCCAGGGUUAAAGAGAUGGGGAGUGGAUGGGAGGUAAGACAAUAGAUACACAAGUUAGAAGGUACACUUGUUCAAGAAGCUUGACUUUAAAGGAACAGGGAAGAAGGUAAAUAGCUAGAGAAGUACUUGGGGUUUUCUAAUUCUUUUUAAAAAUAAGGGUGAGAGACUUGAGUUAGGACAUAUUUAAAGACAUAAGGAAAUGCUGGCCGAUAGAGAGGAACUAGUUGCAGAUAGGAGAGAGGAGAUAACACAAGUAUAUAUGGGGGGAUAAUUGAAGAAUGAGAAUGAAAUACAGUAGGUGGGGAUUAGUCUGGUUGACCAAGAAAGACAGCUUUGCCUUGAAACCAGAGGAGGCAAGGUAAUGACAAGCCUGUAGACUAAAGGUAGAAAGAUGAUAGCCUGCUCUUCAGUGAGAAGUUUGAGGUAAAAGGCGAAGGUCAGGAAUAGCUUAUUUAGGACAUGGAGAGUUUCUGGGCCAGGCGCAGUGGCUCACGCCUGUAAUCCCAGUACUUUGGGAGGCCGACGUGGGCGAAUCACGAGGUCAGGAGUUCAAGACCAGCCUGACCAACAUGGUGAAACCCCGUCUCUACUAAAAAUACAAAAAUUAGCCGGGCGUGGUGGUGCAUGCCUGUAAUCCCAGCUACUCAGGAGGCUGAGGCAGGAGAAUCACUUGAACCUGGGAAGCGGAGGUUGCAGUAAGCCGAGAUUGCGCCACUGCACUCCAGCCUGGGUGACAGAGCGAGACGCCGUCUCAAAAAAAAAAAAAAAAAAAGGGACAUGGAGAGUCUCUGAGCCAGGGCAAAUAAAAAGCUUGCUUGGUUUCUAACUUUUCAUAUAUUUUGUUUCUUCCAGGUCUGGGCUCUUCAGCUGAGCACUUAGUGUUUGUACAGGAUGAGGCAGAAGAUUCAGGGAAUGAUUUCCUCUCCAGUGAGAGCACAGACAGUAGCAUUCCAUGGUUCCUCCGGGUUCAGGAGUUGGCCCAUGACAGUUUGAUUGCUGCUACUCGUGCACAACUGGCAAAGAAUGCAAAAACCAGCAGCAAUGGUGAGGCCCGUCGGCAUUUUCCUUGCCACUAUUCUGUGCAAAGAGAUUUUGGUAAUGCAGUGGCUGGUUUGAGUUGUAUAUAAUUUAAAUUAUUCUAUUGAUGAGAGCAGAAGGCUAGAAAUCUGUAAAUUGUUUAAAUUUUAUUUUCUAUAAAAUAACUUGGUCAUGCCAGAUUUGUGUUCAAAACCAACUAGUAUUCUGAAUUCUCAACUUUAAAUAAUGUACAGAGCCCCUUUUAAAGAAAAAAUAAUAUACAUCCUGGGGUUUGAAUUGUUUUUAUUGUAAUGUCUCUUAAAUAUGCAAAAACAUAAAUUCUGUGUAAACUUCAUAUACUUAGA